Molecule: ribosomal RNA, 638 nt
Filed under: Salmonella enterica
Lineage: Bacteria; Pseudomonadati; Pseudomonadota; Gammaproteobacteria; Enterobacterales; Enterobacteriaceae
Description: partial 23S ribosomal RNA
Rfam family: Bacterial large subunit ribosomal RNA
Source: RNAcentral
GAGGUUAAGCGACUAAGCGUACACGGUGGAUGCCCUGGCAGUCAGAGGCGAUGAAGGACGUGCUAAUCUGCGAUAAGCGCCGGUAAGGUGAUAUGAACCGUUAUAACCGGCGAUUUCCGAAUGGGGAAACCCAGUGUGACUCGUCACACUAUCAUUAACUGAAUCCAUAGGUUAAUGAGGCGAACCGGGGGAACUGAAACAUCUAAGUACCCCGAGGAAAAGAAAUCAACCGAGAUUCCCCCAGUAGCGGCGAGCGAACGGGGAGGAGCCCAGAGCCUGAAUCAGCAUGUGUGUUAGUGGAAGCGUCUGGAAAGGCGCGCGAUACAGGGUGACAGCCCCGUACACAAAAGCGCAUGUGCUGUGAGCUCGAUGAGUAGGGCGGGACACGUGGUAUCCUGUCUGAAUAUGGGGGGACCAUCCUCCAAGGCUAAAUACUCCUGACUGACCGAUAGUGAACCAGUACCGUGAGGGAAAGGCGAAAAGAACCCCGGCGAGGGGAGUGAAAAAGAACCUGAAACCGUGUACGUACAAGCAGUGGGAGCACCCUUUGGGGUGUGACUGCGUACCUUUUGUAUAAUGGGUCAGCGACUUAUAUUCUGUAGCAAGGUUAACCGAAUAGGGGAGCCGGAGGGAAACCG